CUGGAUUUGACAUCUCCGGACAAACGUAGAGAUACGUCUUUUGUAGCAAUACAACCGGAAGACAGGUGCUGCAUGGCUGUCGUCAGCUCGUGUGGUGACAUGUUGGGUUAAGUCCCGCAACGAGCGCAACCCUUGUCCUUAGUUGCCAGCAUUCAGUUGGGCUCUCUAAGGAGACUGCCGUGGUUAACACGGAGGAAGGUGGGGAUGACGUCAAGUCCUCAUGGCCUUUAUAUCCAGGGCGACACACGUGAUACAAUGGACGGUACAGAGGGAAGCCAAAGCGCAAGCUGGAGCUAAUCUCAAAAAGCCGUUCUCAGUUCGGAUUGGAGUCUGCAACUCGACUCCAUGAAGUUGGAAUCGCUAGUAAUCGCGGAUCAGCACGCCGCGGUGAAUACGUUCCCGGGCCUUGUACACACCGCCCGUCACAUCACGAAAGCUGGCUGUACUAGAAAUCACUGAGCUAACCCGCAAGGGAGGCAGGUGCUUAAGGUAUGGUCAGUGAUUGGGGUG
RNAcentral lists this ribosomal RNA (510 nucleotides) under uncultured bacterium. RNAcentral's name for it is "bacterial SSU rRNA". It matches the Rfam family "Bacterial small subunit ribosomal RNA", at positions 975 to 1482 of the family's 1533-position model. The record is from RNAcentral.